Molecule: non-coding RNA, 220 nt
Organism: Pelobates cultripes (western spadefoot toad)
Lineage: Eukaryota; Metazoa; Chordata; Amphibia; Anura; Pelobatidae
Source: the annotation of a GenBank genome assembly
GUUUCGGUUUCCUCUAUGUGAUAUUUCCCAGAAAUUAGGGGCAUUGCUAAUAAGAGCCGAGAUAUGACUUAGUAUAUCAGCCUAUGCAGGGAUUAACAUCGGCCCCUAAUGGGGCUCAGUCAGACAUUAACAAAGCUUGAGGUGCCAUUCAAUGUGUCUGUAUAUUGCAGCCAUGCUCCUCUGAAAGGGUUAAUGAAAUGAUACUUAUAUGAAUGAUCAG